RNAcentral lists this ribosomal RNA (253 nucleotides) under uncultured bacterium. Its description in RNAcentral is "partial 16S ribosomal RNA". It matches the Rfam family "Bacterial small subunit ribosomal RNA", at positions 524 to 776 of the family's 1533-position model. The record is from RNAcentral.
UACGUAGGGAGCAAGCGUUGUCCGGAAUCAUUGGGCGUAAAGCGCGCGUAGGUGGCUUCGUAAGUCCGUUGUGAAAGUCAAAGGCUCAACCUUUGAAAGCCGAUGGAUACUGCGGAGCUAGAGUACGGAAGAGGCGAGUGGAAUUCCUGGUGUAGCGGUGGAAUGCGCAGAUAUCAGGAGGAACACCGAUGGCGAAGGCAGGUCUCUGGGCCAUUACUGACACUGAGAAGCGAAAGCAUGGGGAGCGAACAGG